AGCGAACGCUGGCGGCAGGCUUAACACAUGCAAGUCGAACGCCCGUAGCAAUACGGGAGUGGCAGACGGGUGAGUAACGCGUGGGAACAUGCCCUUUGGUUUGGAAUAACUCAGGGAAACUUGAGCUAAUACCGGAUAAGCCCGAGAGGGGAAAGAUUUAUCGCCGAAGGAUUGGCCCGCGUCCGAUUAGCUAGUUGGUGAGGUAAUGGCUCACCAAGGCGACGAUCGGUAGCUGGUCUGAGAGGAUGAUCAGCCACACUGGGACUGAGACACGGCCCAGACUCCUACGGGAGGCAGCAGUGGGGAAUAUUGGACAAUGGGGGCAACCCUGAUCCAGCCAUGCCGCGUGAGUGAUGAAGGCCCUAGGGUUGUAAAGCUCUUUCGGCGGGGACGAUAAUGACGGUACCCGCAGAAGAAGCCCCGGCUAACUUCGUGCCAGCCGCCGCGGUAAU
RNAcentral lists this ribosomal RNA (452 nucleotides) under uncultured bacterium. Its description in RNAcentral is "bacterial SSU rRNA". It matches the Rfam family "Bacterial small subunit ribosomal RNA", at positions 29 to 524 of the family's 1533-position model. The record is from RNAcentral.